AACACUGAGCACUGGUCUGAAGAGAGUACAGAACAACAUCAAUUUUCUGAGUUGCCUUCCUCACUAGGGUCGCAGGCGUGCUGGAGCCUAUCCCAGCUGUCAUCGGGCAGGAGGCGGGGUACACCCUGAACUGGUUGCCAGCCAAUCGCAGGGUACAGAACAACAUAAAGGAUGCAGUGCAUGGGUGUGAGUUAUCUUUGGUUUAAAAGAAUCUGGAACCAUGCAUUUCAACUUUCUUUCGGUAUCAUUGAGCAACCAUUACAUUACUUGACCAUAGAUGACACCUUUUGAAUGCAAGUUGCGACCCCUGGAGGGAUUUAUGAUCCAUUACACAAACGUUUGGAAAAAUAAUGGCUGGUCAUAUUAGUUACACGUGCACAUUGUAAAAAGUAGAACUAGUGUCAGGUUUUGCCACCCUUAGAUGAGUAUUAAUUUGACUAACAUAUAACUGUAAUUUAAUUAGUGUGUACAACUAAUUUUAGUCAUCGUCUGAUGAACAGACAAGCUUCCGUUCCAAAGGCAGGUUCAUAACACAAUACGGCUGAUUUUAAAUAAAUUUGCUUUGCUUUAACUUUGCUUUGUGCAUUUAAUCCCACCGAGACCAUCUUUUGAUGACGCAAAGUGUUGGUGCAUGCUGUGACAGCACAUAGUAUACAACGUUCAUGAGAAAAAAAAGGUGAAAAUAAACGCACCCAUCCUCAUAAACACACAUCCAUUAAAAUGGUAGAGCAAAAGUCCUGAGACACACAUCUUAAUGAAUCAAUCAGGGGUUACGCUAAAUCAAUUAUUCCCACCUGAAUCAAAAUCUUUUACCUUGCCAAGACAUGGACAUUAUGCUUGGGGAAGGUCAUUUUCUAUCUUUUCUCAAUGUGCCCCAUUACACAAAGCACACCCACAAGACUGUGUUUAAAGGUAGAGUUUGCAGCUUAAAAAAAAUCAAACACUUUUUGUUAGGGAUGUCCCGAUACAACUUUCACUUCCCAUACAAUACCGAUAGUGCAACCUUGAGUAGUAUUGGCUGAUACUGAUAUUGAUCAGAUACAAUAUCAGCACAAAUCAUACAUACUUGUGUUACUUAUUUUGUAGUAUGGAGUUUUAGAAUAGUUUUCAAUCAAAUAAUAAUAUGCAAACAGAACAAUAGUCAGCAACAGCAGAUAUGAGGAAAAACGGACCCAUUUAUUAAUAACUAAUUGGUUACAUAAAGUUAAACCUUAAACAUAAUAUCCUACAAUUAAAUGAAACAAAUACAAAAAUAGAAAUUCCUGAAAAAUAAUCUCUAUAAUUCAAAUGUAAACAAAAAUAUAUUUUAAAGUGCAAAAUAAGCACUAUGUUUAAAUUAAACAUAAGCAUUUUCUGCAAUUGAGUAGAAUAAAAAAUUUUAAAAAAUACAAUAGAAGUGCUAGAGCAAAGUCUGGACGGGACUGCUUGUAUCGGAAUGCUUUAUCGGAGAUUUUAGAUGCAGUCCAUAUAAUUCAAUACUUGCUUUUUGCUGAUAUCUGAUCGAUAACGAUCGGGAAACCCCUACUAUAUUUAAACUGACCUGACAGUAGAAUAUUAAUAAAUGAUACCUUGAAAAAUCACUCCUCUGUGUCCCUAUCUAAUGCCCCUAUUUAAAAUGUUAUUAUUCUUUUACAACUGUGCACGGCGGGACAAGAAUAGCCAAUCAGAGAGAGUAGUGACUGGAGGCGUGACCGAAUAGUCUGUCAAUCAUUUGCACACACCCAUCAUGUACACGGAGGCUCGCGGGGAAGUACCAAAGGCUCUCGCAGAGUAGACUAUUAUAGUUUCUUAUUUAACUCCGGUUAGCAACAAAAGUUAAAAAGAAGGUAGUGCACAGCUCUUGACUUCAAAUCAAGGGUAAAGACAUGUAACAUUGGUGUGUGUUGGGUUCAUUGGCUGUAGUGGUACACUCGCCUGACUUUGGUGCGGGCAGCGUGGGUUCAGUUCCCACUCAGUGACGGUGUGAAUGUGAGUGUGAAUGGUUGUCCGUGUCUAUAUGUUCCCUGUGACUGACUGGCGACCAGUUCAGGGUGUAGUCCGCCUUUCGCCCGAAGUCAGCUGGGAUAGGCUCCAGUGUCCCGUGACCCUAACCAGGAUAAGCGGUGUUGAAAAUGGAUGGAUGGAUGGGUUCAUGGUCAGUGGGUGGGUCGUCACUGACUUGUGAAAUAUGCCAGAGAUGAAGUUCUGCAUAGUCACACCAUUCACAAACAACACACUCCUCUGCUUCACUGUCGCUCCAGCACUCGGAGGGUGAAGUCACACUUUCACAUCCCAAAA
This is a long non-coding RNA of Phyllopteryx taeniolatus (common seadragon), 2277 nucleotides long. RefSeq lists it as uncharacterized. The record is from RefSeq and is a predicted model, not a curated record. Lineage: Eukaryota; Metazoa; Chordata; Actinopteri; Syngnathiformes; Syngnathidae. The transcript is spliced from 3 exons.